RNAcentral lists this small RNA (3658 nucleotides) under Pan troglodytes (chimpanzee). RNAcentral describes it as "retained intron". Lineage: Eukaryota; Metazoa; Chordata; Mammalia; Primates; Hominidae. The record is from RNAcentral.
CAAAUGACAAUUUCAGCUCUAAAUCUUCUGUAGGAAUUUGUCUUGUGCUUUUGUAAAUGUCAGUGUUACUCUUAGAGAUUGUCUCAGAAGCUUCAUAUGGAGUCUUGUGGGGUUUUUUUUUUCCUUGACUUUUCCCAACCCUAUUACUCUUCUUCAGUGUCUUCAUUUUGGGAGAAGGUUUUUCCAAAGUUACCAUAAUGAGGAAGUCCAUCUCAACAACAACACUGUUAUGACCCUAUCUUCAGCAAUGGGAAAUAGAAAAUUAGAGGGAAAGUCCACAAGGACAAAACAAAAGAGGGUGAACAGACAGUAGAUCUCUCAGUACUCUGUUUUGGGUCCCAUGUGAUGAAUGGCAUUAGACAUACUUGAGGCCAAUCUGCCACUGUCGCCAUUUCUGGACUAGUUCAUUGCCUCACAAGUUCUUUUCCUAGGAAUUUAUAACAGUUCUCAAAACCGUAAAGUUGUUCGUAAUAUUUCACUGUAUUUAUAUGUAGCCCUGUAGAGUUGAUCUCUGCAUCAUUAGUACUCUCCCAGAGUUUAAGAAAUGGUGGCUUAACAUAAGUCAUGAAAGUCACGUUGUAAAAAUUUGUAUUCCUUAAUAUUGUUACUAUACCUAAAACGUAUAUUAAUCUUUUUCUCCCCCUUUUUCAUGAAAAGAACCACCAAUCUUUCCAGCAAGCUGAUGGAAUUUAAUUUAGGUACUGAUAAACAGACUUUCUUGUCUAAGCUUAUCAAAUCCAUUUUCAUUUCCUAUUUGGAGAACUAUAUUGAGGUGGAGACUGGAUAUUUGAAAAGCAGAAGUGCUAUGAUCCUACAGCGCUAUUAUGAUUCGAAAAACCAUCAAAAGAGAUCCAUUGGCACAGGAGGUAUUCAAGAUUUGAAGGAAAGAAUUAGACAGCGUACCAACUUACCACUUGGGCCAAGUAUCGAUACUCAUGGGGAGACUUUUCUAUCCCAAGAAGUGGUGGUUAAUCUUUUACAAGAAACCAAACAAGCCUUUGAAAGAUGUCAUAGGCUCUCUGAUCCUUCUGACUUACCAAGGAAUGCCUUCAGAAUUUUUACCAUUCUUGUGGAAUUUUUAUGUAUUGAGCAUAUUGAUUAUGCUUUGGAAACAGGACUUGCUGGAAUUCCCUCUUCAGAUUCUAGGAAUGCAAAUCUUUAUUUUUUGGACGUUGUGCAACAGGCCAAUACUAUUUUUCAUCUUUUUGACAAACAGUUUAAUGAUCACCUUAUGCCACUAAUAAGCUCUUCUCCUAAGUUAUCUGAAUGCCUUCAGAAGAAAAAAGAAAUAAUUGAACAAAUGGAGAUGAAAUUGGAUACUGGCAUUGAUAGGACAUUAAAUUGUAUGAUUGGACAGAUGAAGCAUAUUUUGGCUGCAGAACAGAAGAAAACAGAUUUUAAGCCAGAAGAUGAAAACAAUGUUUUGAUUCAAUAUACUAAUGCCUGCGUAAAAGUCUGUGCUUACGUAAGAAAACAAGUGGAGAAGAUUAAAAAUUCCAUGGAUGGGAAGAAUGUGGACACAGUUUUGAUGGAACUUGGAGUACGUUUUCAUCGACUUAUCUAUGAGCAUCUUCAACAAUAUUCCUACAGUUGUAUGGGUGGCAUGUUGGCAAUUUGUGAUGUAGCCGAAUAUAGGAAGUGUGCCAAAGACUUCAAGAUUCCAAUGGUAUUACAUCUUUUUGAUACUCUGCAUGCUCUUUGCAAUCUUCUGGUAGUUGCCCCAGAUAAUUUAAAGCAAGUCUGCUCAGGAGAACAACUUGCUAAUCUGGACAAGAAUAUACUUCACUCCUUCGUACAACUUCGUGCUGAUUAUAGAUCUGCCCGCCUUGCUCGACACUUCAGCUGAGAUUGAAUUUACAAAGGAAUUCAGUGUCAGUUCCUUUACAGAGGAAUGUCUUAUACUUCAGCAGCCCUCGGUUGAUAGAAAGCACAGGAGAUACCUUAUGACACAGCCAACAUUUUGUGAAACAAUGACUGGAACAAAACAGCAGCCAUACUUACCUUUGAGGUUUUAUUUAAAGUUUGGAUACCACUAGCUAUAUUUUGCUUUUUUCCCCUCACAUUGAAUUUUAAUUCCAUUCUUGAAUGUAGAAAUUUCAGAUUCUCUAAAACUACAUGUCACUGUUUUUAUCCUAGAAAAUGUUGCUGUCAGAAGGCAAAGGAAAUGUUACCAGUGUUUUCGGUUCUUGUACUUUUAACAUAUUCCAUUUAGAAAUUUUGCCAUUCUGUUUUCCAUUAAUAAUAGGUGAAAUACAGGAAAACUACAUUUGUUAUUCCUCAGUUUUUAAUGACCUUUUCAGCAUCAAUUGUUAAUCAGAUUAUUUUAGGUUUUCGUAAAUAAUUUUUUUGCCUCUUUCAAAAGGUUAACAAUUAAGCAUACUUUCUGCAGUUGGUUGAUUGGAUUUUUUUCUGAGGUACAGCAUUAAUACUAGUCCAAAAAAUGUCAUAAACUGAACUAAAAUGAUGAAAUAUUUUAUGUAGACAUUAGGAGUGGAUCGGAAUACUUCUGCUUUCUGGGUAAAACUUAAAAGUUUACUAUUUCUUAUUUGGUAAAUAGAUUUUAAGCCAAUUCUAGUAAGAAAUUAAUAAAACUACCUUAUUUUGUAUUUCACUUAAGGUGGAGGACCUUAACUAAAGGACCAUAUUUAUUCAUUAUUUUAAUAUAAGGGAAGUGAAAAAAAGUGAGGUAUAGUCUAAAUGGUGCAUAUAAGAAAUACUGACAGUGUUUAGCAACAUGCAGCCCUUUAAGAUUUCUGUCGUAAUGCUAAACUUGAAUAAGAUGGAAUGGCUGAACAUGUGGUUAGUCUUUUAUUUUAAGAAGAAUUGAGAAUUGAUAGAUUUGGAGAUGAGCUUUGCAAAGGCUGUUUGCUUUUCAUGUCUAUAGGUCUGUCAUUGUCCUUUUUCAAAGCAUUUCUGAAGUUAUUCCUACUUGGAUAUAGUUAAUGGAAUUGGCUUAAUUUGAUGACAUAAUAAAUCACUUAUAAAAUUUUAAAUAUCAAGUGAAAAUUUAGAAAGGCUAUUACUAUUCUAUAAACCUUAUAAACUUGCUCUGGGAGAAUGCAUUCUAAAUUAUAUAUAGUGUUUCAGCUCCCAUUGUGGUGUUCAUAGUCUUCUAGGAACAGAUAAACUUAAGUAUUCAAUUCACUCUUGGCAUUUUUUCUUUAAUAUAGGCUUUUUAGCCUAUUUUUGGAAAACUGCUUUUCUUCUGAGAACCUUAUUCUGAAUGUCAUCAACUUUACCAAACCUUCUAAGUCCAGAGCUAACUUAGUACUGUUUAAGUUACUAUUGACUGAAUUUUCUUCAUUUUCUGUUUAGUCCAGUGUUACCAAGGUAAGCUAGGGAAUGAAGUAUACCAACUUCUUUCAGAGCAUUUUAGGACAUUAUGGCAGCUUUAGAAGGCUGUCUUGUUUCUAGCCAAGGGAGAGCCAGCUCAGGUUUUGGAUACUAGAGAAAGUCAUAUGCUUGUACUAUUGCCAUUUUAGAAAGCUCUGAUGUGAAUUCAAAUUUUACCUCUGUUACUUAAAGCCAACAAUUUUAAGGCAGUAGUUUUACUGGCCAUUUAAGCUCUUUGUACAGUGUCAAUUUGUAAAAAAGAAAAAACGAAAAAAAAUCUCAAAUAAAACAUGAGAUAACAUUUUAAGACUUCCAAAUCAGAGAA